Molecule: long non-coding RNA, 1057 nt
Filed under: Coturnix japonica (Japanese quail)
Lineage: Eukaryota; Metazoa; Chordata; Aves; Galliformes; Phasianidae
Description: lncRNA (ENSCJPG00005002465.1)
Source: RNAcentral
AUGAGGAAAAGUUCAGGUUUUGAAUAUUUUGUUCAUUUCUGAAAAGUCGGUAACAAUUUAAAUAAUUUACAAGGUUUUUUUGCAGGAAAAUCUUUGCUUAUAAAAUAGGGAGAAGUUCUUCCAUUCUACCUCUUUUUGCUUACUUACCUUCCUUCCCACUUUCUGUAAAGACAAUGAGUUACUAAGAAAUGUGACAUUAUUAUUCAGCAGGCAGGAGCAUUUAGAGGUAAAUUUGCCCCAGAGUAUCAUCUGCAACCAGCCAAGCAGAAGCUGCGACUAAUGUGUCACAGCAAUGAAAGUCUGUGGUUUCUGUUUAGGAGCACAAGCACUGAACAUCAACCUUAUCUUUGGAAAAGGAGAGCAAAUUUGUACAACUUUUCAUCACGCCUUUUAAUCCCUAUGUAAUUAAACGAAGAAACCACAGGUCUCAUAUAAAGGGACCCCAGCACAGCCAACACAGCAUGGAUCACACCAUGCAGUCACCUGAGCCCUGGAGGAAGGUGAUGGCACCAAGGCUGUGGAUUUCCCUCAUAGCCAGCUCCACAGGAUGCAAAGCCCACGAGAGUUGGUCUCUCUCAAGGCUUAUCAUGGGAAGAUGGCCUCAUCUCAAACCUUCCUGGCUGAUUUCCAGCACUGUACAAUGGAUUAGUCAUCAAAAACCAUGAGGCUAUUUGUUGGAAGGCAGCUAUUAUGAGCUGACUAAUCAUAUACAAAAGAUUAGACCACUUUCCAAAGAUCUAAUUGACCAGAAGAAUCUGUGGUUUCCCCUAUUCUCUUGUUUUUCAUAUCAGCAGUACUGGCAUCCACUAAAAUUUUCUAGCAAACAAAUAUUUUUGAGGCAUUUCAGUUGGAGUAGAAAGCCAGCAUGGAAGAAAGCAGACCAUCAGCUGUUCCACUGAGAAUCCAGCAAAAAGGAACAGUUGAUAUCCUAUUAAUAUAAAUGAGCUCAUUAGUAGCGUUGACUUCAGUCUGAGUUCAGCAGUUCAGAGCCUCUAUUCCAGAACAUAUAGAAUUUAUAUGACAAAAAAUAAAGAGAAAAUGAAGGAAGGAUAUUGCA